RNAcentral lists this ribosomal RNA (253 nucleotides) under uncultured bacterium. RNAcentral describes it as "partial 16S ribosomal RNA". It matches the Rfam family "Bacterial small subunit ribosomal RNA", at positions 524 to 776 of the family's 1533-position model. The record is from RNAcentral.
UACGAAGGGAGCUAGCGUUGUUCGGAAUCACUGGGCGUAAAGUGUGCGCAGGCGGCCGCGCAAGUCGAGUGUGAAAGCCCCGGGCUUAACUUGGGAAUUGCGCUCGAAACUACGUGGCUAGAGUGUGGCAGAGGGAGGUGGAAUUCCACGUGUAGCGGUGAAAUGCGUAGAGAUGUGGAGGAACACCGAUGGCGAAGGCAGCCUCCUGGGCCAACACUGACGCUCAUGCACGAAAGCGUGGGGAGCAAACAGG